AACGCUGGCGGCGUGGAUUAGGCAUGCAAGUCGAACGGUAUCAUCCUUUCGGGGGUGAGAGAGUGGCGAACUGGUGAGUAACACGUAGGUUAUCUACCCUCAAGACGGGACAACCCAGGGAAACUUGGGCUAAUACCGGAUGUGAGCAACUUUAGUUGUUUGAAAGGUGGCGUAAGCUGUCGCUUGGGGAUGAGCCUGCGUCCUAUUAGUUAGUUGGUGAGGUAACGGCUCACCUAGGCAAUGAUAGGUAGGCGGCCUUAACGGGUGGUCGCCCACACUGGGAUUGAGAUACGGCCCAGACUCCUACGGGAGGCAGCAGUCGAGAAUAGUCUACAAUGGUCGGAAGACUGAUAGUGCGACGCCGCGUGAACGAUGAAUCCCUUCGGGGUGUAAAGUUCUUUUAUAUGUGAGCAGUGCUUCUUAUAUUAACAGUAUGGGGAGAGAGAUAUUAGCAUAUGAAUAAGCAACGGCUAACUCCGUG
RNAcentral lists this ribosomal RNA (481 nucleotides) under uncultured bacterium. RNAcentral describes it as "bacterial SSU rRNA". It matches the Rfam family "Bacterial small subunit ribosomal RNA", at positions 32 to 507 of the family's 1533-position model. The record is from RNAcentral.